UCCAGUCGAUGGUUAAGUGGUAUAAUCUUUGCCUUUUAUUUUUAAGGGUCGUAGGUUCGAACCCUCUCCGGGAA
Molecule: non-coding RNA, 74 nt
Organism: Meloidogyne enterolobii
Lineage: Eukaryota; Metazoa; Nematoda; Chromadorea; Rhabditida; Meloidogynidae
Source: the annotation of a GenBank genome assembly